Molecule: non-coding RNA, 117 nt
Organism: Aedes aegypti (yellow fever mosquito)
Lineage: Eukaryota; Metazoa; Arthropoda; Insecta; Diptera; Culicidae
Source: Rfam
UGCCCAGCAACUCCUAUCCCUACCUCCUCGCGGUACUGGCCGGGGUACGAGUAACCUCAGGGAAGAUCGGGUAACCAACCCCCGGUGGGAACUUUGGUCGUAUGCUGACAGGGAAGG